RNAcentral lists this ribosomal RNA (497 nucleotides) under uncultured bacterium. Its description in RNAcentral is "partial 16S ribosomal RNA". It matches the Rfam family "Bacterial small subunit ribosomal RNA", at positions 28 to 507 of the family's 1533-position model. The record is from RNAcentral.
GAUGAACGCUGGCGGCGUGCCUAAUACAUGCAAGUCGAGCGAACAGACGAGGAGCUUGCUCCUCUGACGUUAGCGGCGGACGGGUGAGUAACACGUGGAUAACCUACCUAUAAGACUGGGAUAACUUCGGGAAACCGGAGCUAAUACCGGAUAAUAUAUUUAACCGCAUGGUUCAAUAGUGAAAGACGGUUUUGCUGUCACUUAUAGAUGGAUCCGCGCCGCAUUAGCUAGUUGGUAAGGUAACGGCUUACCAAGGCAACGAUGCGUAGCCGACCUGAGGGGGUGAUCGGCCACCCUGGAACUGAGACACGGUCCAGACUCCUACGGGAGGCAGCAGUAGGGAAUCUUCCGCAAUGGGCGAAAGCUUGACGGAGCAACGCCGCGUGAGUGAUGAAGGUCUUCGGUUCGUAAAACUCUGUUAUUAGGGAAGAACAAAUGUGUAAGUAACUAUGCACGUCUUGACGGUACCUAAUCAGAAAGCCACGGCUAACUACGUG